AGCAAUAAAUAUGAGAGUGACGUACGGGUGCGUAACACGUAUGCAACCUACCCUUUACAGGCGGAUAGCUCGGGGAAACUCGAAUUAACCCGCCGUAAUAUAAUUGGAUGGCAUCAUCUGGUUAUUAAAUCUACGGAGGUAAAGGAUGGGCAUGCGUCUGAUUAGUUAGUUGGCGGGGUAACGGCCCACCAAGACGAUGAUCAGUAGGGGAACUGAGAGGUUGAUCCCCCACACUGGCACUGAGAUACGGGCCAGACUCCUACGGGAGGCAGCAGUAGGGAAUAUUGGUCAAUGGAUGGAAGUCUGAACCAGCCAUGCCGCGUGCAGGAAGAAGGCCUUCUGGGUUGUAAACUGCUUUUGCCAGGGGAUAAAAUGACCUUGCGAGGUUAAUUGAAGGUACCUGGUGAAUAAGCCACGGCUAACUACGUGCCAGCAGCCGCGGUAAUACGUAGGUGGCAAGCGUUGUCCGGAUUUAUUGGGUUUAAAGGGUGCGUAGGCGGCUUAUUAAGUCAGUGGUGAAAUACUCUAGCUCAACUAGAGGGGUGCCAUUGAUACUGAUGAGCUUGAGUACAGAUGAGGUAGGCGGAAUUGACGGUGUAGCGGUGAAAUGCUUAGAUAUCGUCAAGAACACCUAUAGCGAAGGCAGCUUACUAGGCUGUAACUGACGCUGAGGCACGAAAGUGUGGGGAUCAAACAGGAUUAGAUACCCUGGUAGUCCUGUAAACGUUGGGCGCUAGGUGUGGGGACCUUCCACGGUUUCCGCGCCGUAGCUAACGCAUUAAGCGCCCCGCCUGGGGAGUACGGCCGCAAGGCUAAAACUCAAAGGAAUUGACGGGGGCCCGCACAAGCGGCGGAGCAUGUUGCUUAAUUCGACGCAACGCGAAGAACCUUACCAAGGCUUGACAUUGCCCGGAAACACUCAGAGAUGGGUGCCUCUUCGGAUCGGGUGACAGGUGGUGCAUGGCUGUCGUCAGCUCGUGUCGUGAGAUGUUGGGUUAAGUCCCGCAACGAGCGCAACCCUUGUUCAAUGUUGCCAGCAACACCUUCGGGUGGUUGGGGACUCAUUGGAGACUGCCGGGGUCAACUCGGAGGAAGGUGGGGAUGACGUCAAGUCAUCAUGCCCCUUAUGUCUUGGGCUGCAAACAUGCUACUAUGGCCGGUACAGAGGGCUGCGAUACCGCAAGGUGGAGCGAAUCCCUAAAAGCCGGCCUCAGUUCGGAUUGGGGUCUGCAACUCGACCCCAUGAAGUCGGAGUCGCUAGUAAUCGCAGAUCAGCAACGCUGCGGUGAAUACGUUCCCGGGCCUUGCACACACCGCCCGUCACGUCACGAAAGUCGGCAACACCCGAAGCCCGUGGCCCAACCAGCUUGCUGGGGGGAGCGGUCGAAGGUGGGGCUGGCGAUUGGGACGAAGUCGAAACAAGGUA
This 1426-nucleotide ribosomal RNA is filed under the name metagenome. Its description in RNAcentral is "bacterial SSU rRNA". It matches the Rfam family "Bacterial small subunit ribosomal RNA". The record is from RNAcentral.